UUUGAAAAUAGCUUUUAAUAAUUUAUAAUACAGCUCUAACUUUAAAAAAAGCAGAAGACAAACAAUAAAUAAAAAAAAUACAGGUUGUGCUUGACCGAGUGUCUGAGAUCCCAUUUUGCUCCAAUCUUCAAGCUGCUGCAUUUCAGCAACAUCCCUGCAUCUCAGCAGUAAACAAUCUGCAAAUAUUGCUGCCUUCAGACAGGUCACUCAGCACAUUUUAAAGCAGGCUCCUUGUUUACUGCUCAGAUUAUCUGCAAUGUGCUUUUCUGCUCCUCACAGUGUCAGGACCUGAUACACAGUUUGCAAAUAUUAUGUAAAGGAAAUAAUUCUCAAUGGCAAACAAUUACAACCGAGUGUAAAACAAGAGACUGGCUGGGGGUGGGAGAGCAGGGCAGAGGUUUGGUGUCUGUGUGUGUGUAUCUAUAAAGGGUUGGAGGGGGGAGGAAUGGGGAGUAAGGAAAAGCAACUGUAUAAAAGAGCAUUUUUACCAGACAAUGUCAUAGUCUCAGUGACAUGUAAUGAUGUUUAAAUACCUUUGCCAUUUUCCCCUGGUGAUUGCUGCACUGGGUGUGUUCUGUGGGCCUAUAGAGAUAUGUUUUUCAAAAAUCAGGAUGGAGUGAAUGCCGUUCGUUGUUCUGGCUGCAAAAUGUCAAACUGCAGUGGAAAGAAAUACAGCAUUGCAGUGGUGGUGCACUGAGGCCCCCGGUAGGAAAGCAGGAGCUAUUAAGUGGAAAAUUCCUGCAGAGGACGUGUUUCCAUUUCUAAUGCGAAGAAAGAGGGUGUUGUUUGAGGCUGGCAGGUCUGUGGAAAAUACAGAAAACACAGGGAAGAUGAGAAAAUGACCUCAUUGAACUCUGAGAACUUAAGCAAACAAACAGCUUCAGCCAACAUACCACAUUCUUCUGCCCAAACAACAAAUUGACCUGAUGGAUAAACCUCACUGAAACCACUGUUCUGAGACUGCAGGCACAGCUAUUGAGGACAGCCUAGAUGCAAGCCAGGUCUCAUUUCCAAAGCACAGAGUGGAUUAAAAGUAAAGUACAACCAAAAAGAAGACCUGGAAAUCUGAAAAUAUGCAGAAUAACAAUCCAGCAAAGAAUGGAGGAUUCCUGCUGCUUCCCAGUAGUGCUGCUCCUAAAGCGACUUAAAGGAAAAGAUUCACCAAGGAGGGGAAGCAACCAAGGGGAGUUUAGAGGAAGACAUCUUCAUCACCUAGUAAAAUCUGUUCAGUCAGCUCCAGCUAAUGUGCCUCCCAAGCUGUAAAACAAAAAUGGAUUAUGUGUAGUAGUUCUAUAAGACCAGCAUGAUACUCCAAGUAGUUUCCCAUUAGCAUAAAUAUAAGGUUAUCAUAGAAAAAUGUUGCUGUAAAUCUUCACAAUUUAGCAUUUUAACAUUUUUCCUAAUGCUUUCUAUGAACAAAGUGAUGAAGGGAGGAGAUAAGUCCCAUGCUGGGCAUGAACACUGUAACUAAGCUUUCACUGUCACACCUCUAUGGCACACAAGAAGGAAAUAAACCACCAGGAAAUAUCA
This 1530-nucleotide long non-coding RNA is filed under the name Zonotrichia albicollis (white-throated sparrow). Its description in RNAcentral is "lncRNA (ENSZALG00000012325.1)". Lineage: Eukaryota; Metazoa; Chordata; Aves; Passeriformes; Passerellidae. The record is from RNAcentral.